GCCUUAGCGCGGUGGUCCCACCUGACCCCAUGCCGAACUCAGAAGUGAAACGCCGUAGCGCCGAUGGUAGUGUGGGGUCUCCCCAUGCGAGAGUAGGGAACUGCCAGAC
Molecule: ribosomal RNA, 109 nt
Filed under: Escherichia coli
Lineage: Bacteria; Pseudomonadati; Pseudomonadota; Gammaproteobacteria; Enterobacterales; Enterobacteriaceae
Source: RNAcentral